Molecule: ribosomal RNA, 451 nt
Filed under: uncultured eukaryote
Lineage: Eukaryota
Description: SSU rRNA
Rfam family: Eukaryotic small subunit ribosomal RNA
Source: RNAcentral
CAUGGCCCGUUCUUAGUUGGUGGAGUGAUUUGUCUGGUUAAUUCCGAUAACGAACGAGACCUUAACUGCUAAUUAGUCGUCCCCAUUUUAUGGGAUAUGACUUCUUAGAGGGACUAUGCAUAUCAAGUGCAUGGAAGUUUGAGGCAAUAACAGGUCUGUGAUGCCCUUAUAUGUCCUGGGCUGCACGCGUGCUACACUGAUGCAUACAACAAGUGCCUAGCUAGACAUAGUAUGGCAAUCUGGAAUAUGCAUCGUGAUGGGGAUAGAUCUUUGCAAUUAUAGAUCUUGAACGAGGAAUUCCUAGUAAGUGCAAGUCAUCAUCUUGCAUUGAUUAUGUCCCUGCCCUGUGUACACACCGCCCGUCGCUCCUACCGAUACCGGGUGAUCCGGUGAACCUGUUGGACCCUUUGGGAAAAAUAAGUAAAUCAUAUCACCUAGAGGAAGGAGAAGU